AUUGCCUGCCCAGUGACUUCUAAGUUAAACGGCCGCGGUAUUCUGACCGUGCAAAGGUAGCAUAAUCAUUUGUUCCCCAAUUAGGGACUAGUAUGAAUGGCUAGACGAGGAUUCAACUGUCUCUUAUUCCCAAUCAGUGAAAUUGACCUUCCAGUGAAGAGGCUGGAAUAAAACAAUAAGACGAGAAGACCCUAUGGAGCUUUAAUUAACUAGCCUAAUUAUAAUACUAAAACNCUNAUGGAACAAAAACAUAAACAUUAAGCUAACAAUUUUGGUUGGGGUGACCUCGGAGAACAAAAAACCCUCCGAAUGAUUAUAGCACAGACAAACAAGUCAAAGCAAUCCACUAUAUCCAAUUGACCCAAAAACACUUUGACCAACGGACCAAGUUACCCUAGGGAUAACAGCGCAAUCCUAUUUAAGAGUCCAUAUCGACAAUUAGGGUUUACGACCUCGAUGUUGGAUCAGGACACCCCAAUGGUGCAGAAGCUAUUAAAGGUUCGUUUG
This 507-nucleotide ribosomal RNA is filed under the name Grammomys sp. RNAcentral's name for it is "partial small subunit ribosomal RNA". It matches the Rfam family "Bacterial large subunit ribosomal RNA", at positions 1854 to 2579 of the family's 2925-position model. The record is from RNAcentral. Lineage: Eukaryota; Metazoa; Chordata; Mammalia; Rodentia; Muridae.